Molecule: long non-coding RNA, 793 nt
Organism: Siniperca chuatsi (mandarin fish)
Lineage: Eukaryota; Metazoa; Chordata; Actinopteri; Centrarchiformes; Sinipercidae
Exons: 2
Source: RefSeq, a predicted model, not a curated record
CCACAUGUGUAACCCAGAGACCCGGGUUCAGACCGAUAACCCGGAAACACUGGACCCGACUCCUCCUCUGCGGAACAGCGACACCAGCGGCGGGAGGCCGAACUACACCAAUCAAUCAGGAAGGGCUUACCUGGUGGAGCGAUGAACCCGGCGACGACCUGCAGAACAACAGCGGAAAUGACUGAAAAACACAACCGGCACUGAGUUUGUGUGCAAGGAGACAUUCUGCAUGUGGUCGAGUCCCGAGGUCACAAGCAGCCGGAGGACACGCGAGGCAGAGGACGAGGGGGUCUUGGUCUUGGGUUUGACACCUUGAAUAAUAACCGUUAAGAUGAAGUGCAGGUCUUUCUUUCUGAGACACAGCUGCUCUGCUUAAUGCAGCUCUGACGGCUCCUGGUGGAUCGCACCUGCUCUGGAUCCAAACCUGCUCUGGAUCCAAACCUGCUCUGGUUCUUUCAUCCAAAACGUCAAGAACAAAAAAAGACUUUCAGUAUUUUAAAGGAAGAACAUUUUAUUUGGACAACUGUUGUUACACCUUUUUGUUUAAAUAAAGAAAGUUUGGAAAAACAAAGAACCCCAUUAUUAUGACGUCAGAAGUGAUGACAGCACAGAAAGAGAAACGGUCCCCGUGUCCUUAUUAAAGCUGAUCACCACACCGACAUGUUGUUGAGUUAUUAGAGUGCUGAGUUCACGUGUUAUUGGAAACUUCAGCGUCUGUAUGUGCUGACCUGACGCUUUAAAAGGCUCCUCUGGAUGUGAAUGAAAUGAAACGAAGCGUUCCCUUUAAAUGAAA